GACGAACGCUGGCGGCGUGCCUAAUACAUGCAAGUUGAGCGAUGAAAAUUGGUGCUUGCACCAAUUUGAAGAGCAGCGAACGGGUGAGUAACGCGUGGGGAAUCUGCCUUUGAGCGGGGGACAACAUUUGGAAACGAAUGCUAAUACCGCAUAACAACUUUAAACAUAAGUUUUAAGUUUGAAAGAUGCAAUUGCAUCACUCAAAGAUGAUCCCGCGUUGUAUUAGCUAGUUGGUGAGGUAAAGGCUCACCAAGGCGAUGAUACAUAGCCGACCUGAGAGGGUGAUCGGCCAAAAUGGGACUGAGACACGGCCCAAACUCCUACGGGAGGCAGCAGUAGGGGAUCUUCGGCAAUUGACGAAAGUCUGACCGAGCAACGCCGCGUGAGUGAAGAAGGUUCUCGGAUCGUAAAACUCUGUUGGUAGGGAAGAACGUUGGUGAGAGUGGAAAGCUCAUCAAGUGACGGUAACUACCCAGAAAGGGACGGCUAACUACGUG
This 497-nucleotide ribosomal RNA is filed under the name uncultured bacterium. Its description in RNAcentral is "partial 16S ribosomal RNA". It matches the Rfam family "Bacterial small subunit ribosomal RNA", at positions 28 to 507 of the family's 1533-position model. The record is from RNAcentral.